RNAcentral lists this ribosomal RNA (519 nucleotides) under uncultured eukaryote. RNAcentral's name for it is "SSU rRNA". It matches the Rfam family "Eukaryotic small subunit ribosomal RNA", at positions 1172 to 1719 of the family's 1831-position model. The record is from RNAcentral.
AGGGCACCACCAGGAGUGGAGCCUGCGGCUUAAUUUGGCUCAACACGGGAAAACUCACCCGGCCCGGACACYGKAAGGAUUGACAGAUUGAGAGCUCUUUCUUGAUUCAGUGGGUGGUGGUGCAUGGCCGUUCUUAGUUGGUGGAGUGAUUUGUCUGGUUAAUUCCGAUAACGAACUAGACUCUAGCCUACUAAAUAGAUCGUCGGCUUACAAACGCCGACGAGACUUCUUAGAGGGACAGGCGGUGAUUCAACCGCACGAAACAGAGCAAUAACAGGUCUGUGAUGCCCUUAGAUGUCCGGGGCCGCACGCGCGCUACACUGAAGUGAUCAGCGUGCUUUUUCAACCUACUCUGUCAAGAGUGGGRAACCCAAUGAACCUUCUUCGUGAUUGGGAUAGGAGAUUGUAAUUAUUCUCCUUGAACGAGGAAUUCCCAGUAAGCGCGAGUCAUAAGCUCGCGUUGAUUACGUCCCUGCCCUUUGUACACACCGCCCGUCGCUACUACCGAUUGAAUGUUUU